GAUGAACGCUGGCGGCGUGCCUAAUACAUGCAAGUCGAGCGAACGGACGAGAAGCUUGCUUCUCUGAUGUUAGCGGCGGACGGGUGAGUAACACGUGGAUAACCUACCUAUAAGACUGGGAUAACUUCGGGAAACCGGAGCUAAUACCGGAUAAUAUUUUGAACCGCAUGGUUCAAAAGUGAAAGACGGUCUUGCUGUCACUUAUAGAUGGAUCCGCGCUGCAUUAGCUAGUUGGUAAGGUAACGGCUUACCAGGGCAACGAUGCAUAGCCGACCUGAGAGGGUGAUCGGCCACACUGGAACUGAGACACGGUCCAGACUCCUACGGGAGGCAGCAGUAGGGAAUCUUCCGCAAAGGGCGAAAGCCUGACGGAGCAACGCCGCGUGAGUGAUGAAGGUCUUCGGAUCGUAAAACCCUGUUAUUAGGGAAGAACAUAUGUGUAAGUAACUGUGCACAUCUUGACGGUACCUAAUCAGAAAGCCACGGCUAACUACGUG
RNAcentral lists this ribosomal RNA (497 nucleotides) under uncultured bacterium. RNAcentral's name for it is "partial 16S ribosomal RNA". It matches the Rfam family "Bacterial small subunit ribosomal RNA", at positions 28 to 507 of the family's 1533-position model. The record is from RNAcentral.